This 1028-nucleotide ribosomal RNA is filed under the name Salmonella enterica subsp. enterica serovar Weltevreden. RNAcentral's name for it is "partial 23S ribosomal RNA". It matches the Rfam family "Bacterial large subunit ribosomal RNA", at positions 1155 to 2141 of the family's 2925-position model. Lineage: Bacteria; Pseudomonadati; Pseudomonadota; Gammaproteobacteria; Enterobacterales; Enterobacteriaceae. The record is from RNAcentral.
GUAUCACCCAAGACAACUUUACGGAGUUGACGAUUGACGGAGCGAAGCGACGUCAAAGCGUUCAUUAAAGUCGAGUUGGCUUAGGGAUACGUUCGUUGGGUAGGGGAGCGUUCUGUAAGCCUGUGAAGGUGUGUCGUGAGGCAUGCUGGAGGUAUCAGAAGUGCGAAUGCUGACAUAAGUAACGAUAAAGCGGGUGAAAAGCCCGCUCGCCGGAAGACCAAGGGUUCCUGUCCAACGUUAAUCGGGGCAGGGUGAGUCGACCCCUAAGGCGAGGCCGAAAGGCGUAGUCGAUGGGAAACGGGUUAAUAUUCCCGUACUUGGUGUUACUGCGAAGGGGGGACGGAGAAGGCUAUGUUGGCCGGGCGACGGUUGUCCCGGUUUAAGCGUGUAGGCUGGUUUUCCAGGCAAAUCCGGAAAAUCAAGGCUGAGGCGUGACGACGAGGCACUACGGUGCUGAAGCAACAAAUGCCCUGCUUCCAGGAAAAGCCUCUAAGCAUCAGGUAACAUCAAAUCGUACCCCAAACCGACACAGGUGGUCAGGUAGAGAAUACCAAGGCGCUUGAGAGAACUCGGGUGAAGGAACUAGGCAAAAUGGUGCCGUAACUUCGGGAGAAGGCACGCUGACAUGUAGGUGAAGUGAUUUACUCAUGGAGCUGAAGUCAGUCGAAGAUACCAGCUGGCUGCAACUGUUUAUUAAAAACACAGCACUGUGCAAACACGAAAGUGGACGUAUACGGUGUGACGCCUGCCCGGUGCCGGAAGGUUAAUUGAUGGGGUCAGCGCAAGCGAAGCUCCUGAUCGAAGCCCCGGUAAACGGCGGCCGUAACUAUAACGGUCCUAAGGUAGCGAAAUUCCUUGUCGGGUAAGUUCCGACCUGCACGAAUGGCGUAAUGAUGGCCAGGCUGUCUCCACCCGAGACUCAGUGAAAUUGAACUCGCUGUGAAGAUGCAGUGUACCCGCGGCAAGACGGAAAGACCCCGUGAACCUUUACUAUAGCUUGACACUGAACAUUGAGCCUUGAUGUGUAG